This 73-nucleotide transfer RNA is filed under the name Rattus norvegicus (Norway rat). It matches the Rfam family "tRNA". From Rfam's summary of the family: Transfer RNA (tRNA) molecules are approximately 80 nucleotides in length. Their secondary structure includes four short double-helical elements and three loops (D, anti-codon, and T loops). Further hydrogen bonds mediate the characteristic L-shaped molecular structure. tRNAs have two regions of fundamental functional importance: the anti-codon, which is responsible for specific mRNA codon recognition, and the 3' end, to which the tRNAs corresponding amino acid is attached (by aminoacyl-tRNA synthetases). tRNAs cope with the degeneracy of the genetic code in two manners: having more than one tRNA (with a specific anti-codon) for a particular amino acid; and 'wobble' base-pairing, i.e. permitting non-standard base-pairing at the 3rd anti-codon position. Lineage: Eukaryota; Metazoa; Chordata; Mammalia; Rodentia; Muridae. The record is from Rfam by way of RNAcentral.
AGGGUUAUAGCUCAGUUGGUAGAGUGCUUGCCUGGCAAGCAUGAGGCCCUGGGCUCCAACCCUAGUACCACAA